AGAAAUAGAGAAGAAGAAUUUGUGGAAUAAUUAGCUUGAUUAUUCCCUCAAGCCAUGGGUUAUAAAUACUAAUUACAGAGAUCUUAAACAGGAAAUAAUAUUCACAAAUCAUAUCUUCCUAUUUUAUAAAAAAAAUAAAAGAAAAUCAUAUAUUCCUAAUUUCCUAAUAUACUAAUGUCUUUACAGAAUUAAUAAAUAGGCACAUAUUCCAUAGAUGUCUGAGGCUAAAAUAGAUAACAGAAAUACAUACACCCAUAAGUGUAAGUAGGAGUGUGUGUCCUAUAAUUGAUAAAUGGCCAUGCAUUAAUACAUGCUAACAGAUGAUAUAAAUUGGAAACAGAUGCAUACAUUAGACCCAAGUUUAGGGCG
RNAcentral lists this unclassified non-coding RNA (369 nucleotides) under Hevea brasiliensis (rubber tree). Lineage: Eukaryota; Viridiplantae; Streptophyta; Magnoliopsida; Malpighiales; Euphorbiaceae. The record is from RNAcentral.